Molecule: ribosomal RNA, 253 nt
Filed under: uncultured bacterium
Lineage: Bacteria
Description: partial 16S ribosomal RNA
Rfam family: Bacterial small subunit ribosomal RNA
Source: RNAcentral
GACAGAGGCCUCAAGCGUUAGGCGGAAUCACUGGGCUUAAAGCGUGUGUAGGCGGACUUCUAAGUGCCUUGUGAAAUCCCACGGCUCAACCGUGGAACUGCUGGGCAUACUGGGAGUCUUGGGCCAUUCAGGGGCAACUGGAACAAGCGGUGGAGCGGUGAAAUGCGUAGAUAUCAGGAGGAACACCGAUGGCGAAGGCAGGUCACUGGGCCGCAACUGACGCUGAGGAGCGAAAGCAUGGGGAGCGAACAGG